UACGGAGGGUGCAAGCGUUAUCCGGAUUUACUGGGUUUAAAGGGUGUGUAGGCGGACUUCUAAGUCAGCGGUGAAAUCUCCGGGCUCAACCCGGAAACUGCCAUUGAUACUAUUGGUCUUGAAUGUUGUUGAGGUGGGCGGAACGGGUCAUGUAGCGGUGAAAUGCAUAGAUAUGACCCGGAACACCGAUUGCGAAGGCAGCCCACUAAGCAACGAUUGACGCUGAGGCACGAAAGCGUGGGGAUCAAACAGG
This 253-nucleotide ribosomal RNA is filed under the name uncultured bacterium. RNAcentral describes it as "partial 16S ribosomal RNA". It matches the Rfam family "Bacterial small subunit ribosomal RNA", at positions 524 to 776 of the family's 1533-position model. The record is from RNAcentral.